This 460-nucleotide ribosomal RNA is filed under the name uncultured bacterium. Its description in RNAcentral is "partial 16S ribosomal RNA". It matches the Rfam family "Bacterial small subunit ribosomal RNA", at positions 338 to 795 of the family's 1533-position model. The record is from RNAcentral.
CCUACGGGUGGCAGCAGUGAGGAAUAUUGGUCAAUGGACGCGAGUCUGAACCAGCCAAGUAGCGUGAAGGAUGACUGCCCUAUGGGUUGUAAACUUCUUUUAUAUAGGAAUAAACUGGUACACGUGUGUUCUUUUGUAUGUACUUUAUGAAUAAGGAUCGGCUAACUCCGUGCCAGCAGCCGCGGUAAUACGGAGGAUCCAAGCGUUAUCCGGAUUUAUUGGGUUUAAAGGGAGCGUAGGUGGAUUGUUAAGUCAGUGGUGAAAGUUUGCGGCUCAACCGGAAAAUUGCAGUUGAUACUGGCAGUCUAGAGUACAGUUGAGGUAGGCGGAAUUCGUGGUGUAGCGGUGAAAUGCUUAGAUAUCACGAAGAACUCCGAUUGCGAAGGCAGCUCACUAAACUGCAACUGACAUUGAGGCUCGAAAGUGUGGGUAUCAAACAGGAUUAGAUACCCGAGUAGUC